ACAUUUGCAUCCAGCUACUGCCUCUGCCCAAGGUCUUGUCUGGGGCCCUGAGUUAGCUACAAAGAGGAAACAGAUGCCUGCCUGGCCCAGAAGGACCUCCAUGCAGAGGCCUCAAAAGCCUACAGCCAGGAUCCCCGUCACCUCGACACAAGACUGGACCUCUGGUCUUUGUCAUAACAGGAAGGAACUAUGAGGAAAUUCAACAAUGAGGUAGCUGGCUAUGAUGCUGCCUAGAGUUCCAUAGUGAAAGGUGCCACAUUGGCCCCAACAGAUCUACCCUCUUGGGCACAGUGAAUGAGAAACUCACCAGGGAGAGAGGAAAGGAGGAAGAGGUAUGUUUGGUCUGAGGGACAAGAUGGCUAAACCACACGGAAGAUAAUAGAUGCUCAGUUUGUUGGACCAAAGUUGGACCAUGAGUUCUCAGAGUUUGUCAUGGGUGACGAUGUUCAAGACGCUGGAAUUUGUUCUUAUCUGAGGCGUGGGAUCGGUCCUCCUCAGUCCUCAUCAAUCUUCAUCUGACUUUUAUUUUUGUCAUAAAUCUCAAAUUAAGAUGCCCUCACAUGUGCUCACAAAUGGAUAUCUGGUGUGAGUGGACCUGACUGGACCUUUUGGAGUAAGAUUCUGGCAUCCACAGGGGGAAAAACACAGCACUGAGCAACUGUAGCAGAACGAGGGAAGGAAGCAUCUGCAUCCCCAGAAGGUCAAGAAAUUUCAUGCAGAUACGGGAGAGCAUGAACCUGAGGGUGGAAGCGUCGACAACUGAAUUUCAAAGGCCUCCUGGCAAGUACACGGAAAGCGAUGCUCAACAGAAUGACCCUACUUGCUUCCGACUUAAGUGUCCGAAGUACUACAGGAGGAGAAGCUUCUAGUUCCAGCACACACAACUGUGCCUGUGGGUCCUGCCGAUUGCAUUCUAAGGAACUUUCAUCACAGGGUCUGACUCUCAGGGAUGCACCCAACCACAUAGUACGAUGUGGAAAGCGAGAUUAAAAAAAAAAAAAAAAAGACUAAUUUCAGAACCAGAAUAAGGAUUUGAUGUGUACUAAGCAGGAAUGUUGGUCCUCAAGAGUCAUUCCCAAAGACUUCAUUAAGCUGUUGGAUUAGGGCUCCAUUUCUCCAUAAUGAAGCACUCUGGAAAAACUCAGAAGCCACCCCUCCGCACCCCAGCUGGAGGCAUCUGAAUGGAGAAGAGGAGAGAGUCAGAGGACAAGGUGGCGAGGUCUGUUCAAGGACUCAGGCUCUGCUCAACUGACCCAGCUAGCUGCAAGA
Long non-coding RNA from Prionailurus viverrinus (fishing cat), 1269 nucleotides. RefSeq lists it as uncharacterized. The record is from RefSeq and is a predicted model, not a curated record. The transcript has 6 exons. Lineage: Eukaryota; Metazoa; Chordata; Mammalia; Carnivora; Felidae.